RNAcentral lists this ribosomal RNA (506 nucleotides) under uncultured bacterium. Its description in RNAcentral is "bacterial SSU rRNA". It matches the Rfam family "Bacterial small subunit ribosomal RNA", at positions 28 to 525 of the family's 1533-position model. The record is from RNAcentral.
GAUGAACGCUAGCGGGAGGCUUAACACAUGCAAGUCGAGGGGCAGCAUAGGGUAGCAAUACUCUGAUGGCGACCGGCAAACGGGUGAGUAACGCGUAUGCAACCUACCCUGUACAGGGGGAUAACCCGGAGAAAUUCGGACUAAUAUCCCGUAAUAAUAUCCGGAGGCAUCUUUGGAUAUUUAAAGUUCCGACGGUACGGGAUGGGCAUGCGUAACAUUAGCUGGUGGGUAAGGUAACGGCUUACCAAGGCUAUGAUGUUUAGGGGUCCUGAGAGGGUGGUCCCCCACACUGGUACUGAGACACGGACCAGACUCCUACGGGAGGCAGCAGUGAGGAAUAUUGGUCAAUGGGCGCAAGCCUGAACCAGCCAUCCCGCGUGCAGGAAGACGGCCCUAUGGGUUGUAAACUGCUUUUCCAGGGAGAGAAACUUACGCACGUGUUGCGUGACUGACGGUACCCUGGGAAUAAGCAUCGGCUAACUCCGUGCCAGCAGCCGCGGUAAACA